Mustela lutreola (European mink) is the source of this 2817-nucleotide long non-coding RNA. RefSeq lists it as uncharacterized. Lineage: Eukaryota; Metazoa; Chordata; Mammalia; Carnivora; Mustelidae. The record is from RefSeq and is a predicted model, not a curated record. The transcript has 2 exons.
CGCGCGGGGCUCCGUCGCGGUAGCGUCGCCCGCGGGGUGACUGCCUUCGGGGCUCCCGGGGCUGCACGGACUGAACCCCUUUGGCGACCGGCCGUGCGCUGGCCGUUGCCCCGUGGGACGCUCGUUUUUGUCCGUUUCCCAGUCGGACUCGCUGCUCGUCGUUCGUCCUGUCAGGCGCGGGGCGCCCGCAGCCCUCUGCCCCCGGGGGCGCGCAGACCCUCCGGGCGGGGCGGCCUGGGCCCGCACCUCCCCGCGCCCGGGCGGGGGGCCCGAAGGGGGAGAGGCCUGGCGCCGCCCCCAGAGCCAGCGCCGACCCCACGCGGGGCCGAGGUUUCCGCCAAAGGCCCGCGUGUGGAGACCGUGGGGAAGUGCUUCCGAGGGGCGCGGCCACCGCACGGCCACCGCACGGCCGCCGCGUUCAGUGAACGGACUCGAGCAUUUAUCGAGGUUUGGACCUUAAAGAACAGCUUGAGACGUCUGCAGAAGGCGGACCGUUCAAGGGCGAAGAUGGGGUUUGCAGGAGCGGGGAGACAUGAGGGAAGGGGGGCCACAGCCGACGAGCAGGGUGAAGGGUAGAAGCAUCUACGAUCGCUAGGAACCGGGUUCGUGCUGAAGGCGGGCCGGGGCAAGAUGGGGGGAGGGGGAUUUGAGCAGGUGCCCGGCCGGACGCCCGAGGGGCCAAGGACCGAGCCACGGGGCGGGUGGGGUCGGGGGCGGCUACUUCGAAGACCCCCAGGAGCUCCAGGGCUCGAGUGCGCUCCGAGCCCUUGUCGCCCCAGCUGCGCGCCGCAGUCCGACGGCCGUCGCUAGAAAACGAGCCAGAAGCCUGUCCUGAAACACCUGAGCAUGGAGAACCCGGCGGGCACGCGGCGCCCCGCAGACCUACCGCGCUGCGGCUGGCGCGUGGGGGGGCGCCUGGCGGGAGCCGGAGAGGCGGGAGGCGCGACGCAGAGCCUCAAGGCUCCGCGCCAGCAGCUCCCCAUCUCCUACUAGAAUCGUGGGGAGCUUCCGAAUGUGCUCGGAGAGGAUCCUCACUCCGGACCAACGACCUUGACCUCCGAUGCCGCGAUGUGCGCCUCCGUCAGUUGUUGCUGCCCGCAGGCGACUCCCGCAUGUAGCCAAGGUUGAGAACAGCUGGCUUAGCUAAGGCGUUUGGACUUGACCCUAAGGACAGCGAAGCUCUGGCGGGCCUUCAGCAGGGAGGGCUUGAGAGCAGGGGCGCUGGUGAGGCUCUGUUGGUUGAGUGCCUGACUCUGGAUUUCGGCUUAGGUCGUGAGAUCGAGCCCCGCUUUGCACUCCGUGGUGGGCAGCGGUCCGCUUGGGAUUCUCUCCCUCUCCCUCUGCCCCUCUUGCUGGUUCUCUUGCUUUCUCUAAACUAAAAUCUUUUUUAAAAGUCUAUCAUAACAAAAUCUUAGGUGACACAAAAGGUGACCCUUAGAGCUUUGGUUUGGACCAGAGACAAAAGUAGGGUAUCUUACAGAAAUAAAUAAUUGAAGUAAAAUUUCAGAUUUGUGCACUCAAGCUUGUCACAACAAUGCAGAGAAGGAGCGCUUGGUGGCUGCAAGUCACCAAGAGGUGAGGCAAGGAGAGACUAACAGGGUCAGUGGAAUUUAGAGACUGUGGUUGGCGAAGGCCUUCAGCUUGAUGGUGCGUGUGACUGACUCUCAAGGUGGGCGUGAAGGUGAGGGCGAGCUUCUGCGCGUGCUCGCUCCCUGACGGGGCAGUCGGACCUGUGCGUGGAAGCGGACCCCAAGGAACACCCCGACUGACCUGCUCCCGCAGCACACCGCCCCCCACGCUCCUGUGUCCAGUUAUCACAAGUCUGAAUUACAGGCGCUUCAGGAAACUGGCCUAGUGAUUUAAUUUAUACACAGAGCAAUUCCACAACUCACACCUGAAUCCCCUGGAGCUUGAGGCAUAAAAAUAAUAGCCUGAGUAUUUCUGAAUUGCAUGUGUAGAUACUACACAAAGAAAGUAUCACUGAAUCCCAAAAGCCUUAAUUUUACAAAUGUAAAAAUUAAGGAAUUUGCCAAGAGUAUCAGGAAGGAAGAAACCGAAAAGCACUUGGGUGAUAAUCUCUAUUCCCACUCAGAAUACAAAAUUGAAAAUACAAGCCAUCAUGCGUUUUCUUAAAAAGGACACCAAGACAUUCUGAUUGAGCUGCUACAAGCAGAUCUGGAAGGUUUCACUGGCAGCAGCACACGUGCCUAGAAGCAGAAUCAAAUUCUAAAAUAAUAGUUUAUUCAGUAGUUCUGGAAUAACGGACACAUUAGUUGCUAACUUAGUAGCACUCCAGCUGCUGGAAUUGAGGCCAUUCGAGAUCACAGGUAACUAGGCUACUCCCAAGAAACCCAUGUAUUUUAAGUAACAGAAGUGGAGUCAAGCGUUAAGAAAAAGCGUUCUGGGAUCCGGAGCCGUCUGGUCGUCAGUGAGCGGGGGUGAGCGCCUCGUAGAGCCUCCGCGCCGCCAGCUCCACCAUUUCCCGCAGCGACUCGUCGUCCUCGCUUCCUUCCUCACAGUCCACCGUCUGCAAGCGAAAGCACAAAUGGCCCCUUCGCCCUACGUGUCUCCCAGGGCUACGUGGAAGACAGGCUGAUCCUCUUCAAGAAUCCUCUCCCCCAGGGUGGUCACAGAGGCCUGGCCCUGGGGGACCCCAAGCUGCGGCCCUCGGGCCUGCAGGCCUGCGCCACACACGUAUCCCCGACAGUACCAUCACCGGGUCUAAUUAGGGACACACUUUGGGAAAAGGAAUAAAUGGAAAAUCUAUAUGUACUUCAAAGCCCAUACUCUGACCCAGUAAAUCACACUAGGAACUCA